This 31-nucleotide non-coding RNA is filed under the name Homo sapiens (human). The record is from RNAcentral. Lineage: Eukaryota; Metazoa; Chordata; Mammalia; Primates; Hominidae.
UGACUCUUUGCUGCUGCCCUUUAGGAGCUCC